RNAcentral lists this long non-coding RNA (1849 nucleotides) under Rhinopithecus bieti (black snub-nosed monkey). Its description in RNAcentral is "lncRNA (ENSRBIG00000046305.1)". Lineage: Eukaryota; Metazoa; Chordata; Mammalia; Primates; Cercopithecidae. The record is from RNAcentral.
CAGGCCCAUUUGAGCGGAAGGCUUCUUGACAGUGCCUUGAGACAGGCAUUAACUCAGGCGUGGGUGUAAGGGUAGCAUUUGGAGGCCAGUUCUAGACAACAUGAGUCGAACACCAGGCCUGAGGGAUACAUUUAGUUCCAUAAACACAGAUGAAAGUUUUAGAGCCAAGAUGAAGAACAGGCUUAGGAGGGGAAGACAAGUUGGUGAUACAGUUGAGACGCUAGUCCUUGAACUGAAUGAGUAUGAUGAAUCCAUUCACAUAUUGGAGGUUGUCCAAGUGGCCUGGGCUGGGCUGGCUUCUUAGCACUGGGGCAGAAUAAAAAGUGCAUUCUACAGUCAGUUUCCACAGGUCCCUGUGGCCAGCAGGGAGGGACACAUGGACCACAGAGGCCAGUGACCUAAUCCUUGUGACUCUCUGUUCUCUUCUGUGUUUAUUCUGUGGGACUUAAGGCAUAGACAACUCCAGGUCAUAACUUGUAUUUGUAGCUGUUUGCUGUUGUGGUUUGCUAAGCAGCUGAGCAGAUGGAAGGACUGAGCUUUUACUCUUUUUGAGGAUGUCAGAUCUGGCCUGUCUUAACUUUUGCUCUGUGCAUCUUCUGGUUCCUGAGUCAGUUUGGACCCAGGCUGAUCAUUAAUCAGGAGGCCAACCUCCACCAACUGAAGGAGCUUGACUUGGUGGCCUCUAAGGAGUUCCAGCUCUGGUACUUUAAAAUUGAAUCCAGCAAAUUAACUGAAGGAGGCUGCAUUCUCUCUUUCAGAUUUGGCUGAUUUGCUCAAUGCCUGGCUUGCUGGGUAGCUGACGUCCUGUGAUCCUCAGACACAGGCUGCAGUAAGAAAGCAAUGAGGGACUUAAGCUGCUUUAGAAGUGAUUUACAAGGCUCACAAGAUACCGCUGGCUUUGCUCCAUCCCUUUGGCAAGACAGCACACCCAGAGCUGGAGUAUGCUGCUCAUUUGGGAAGGGGAGAUGUCCUGGGCCCAGGGUUUGGAAAUGUCUUCUUGGACAAGCUUAAGCCGGUCUGUUGCCACUGGAGAAGAAAUGUAUUCUUGGGUGCCCCAGGCAAAAGAUCAGAUAUCAAAUCAACUGAAGCACUCAGAAGGAAAAACAAACAGGAGUGCAUUUCCAGAUGUGGAGAGAGGAUUGCUUGGGACUCUUCGCAGGUCUUGAGAUUCCAUGUAGGCUGUGAACACUAAGGAGUGUGUGGAGCUUGUGUCUGAACUUCACCUCUCUAAUGAUGACCAUCCCUGAAAUGAAAAGAAAACCGGUGCUAAAUGGAAAUACCUUCUUUCUUUCCCUCCCACAGCUCAUGCAUAUAUCUUCUACACUCAACGAGCAUCUCUAGAGGAGGUGCCAGCUCUCUCAACAAGUAAUUCCUUUUGGCCCCAUCACAGAAGGGAAGUACAAUCAGCAGCAAUGAAGCUUCUUUAUUCCUUGCUAAUUUAGUGCCAGGACACAUGAUAUGCACAGCUUUGUGAGUGGGAGAGUUUCAAAGCAGGAAGCUUGGAUCUGACUUAGGGAGGCUGGUUAUCCACUUAUGAUACUUGACUUAGCAGAAACCAGUCCGCGUGAAAGCUGUUGUGGGGCCCCCUGCUGGCAUUGUGACAUGGAGACACUUCAUCCUCAGUGAACCUACAGUUCUCUCUGGGAAGCUUUAAGUUCAACAGGGCUGUGGACUUGAAGAGGUUCUUGCUGUAGGCUAGGAAAGUAGAUUGUAGUACUACUACUACUGCCAGUACUACCUUUUCUACUGUUUUUGGGUUUCGUGGGCCACUUUGAAACUCUAACCACAGUAUUUUCAACCUUGCAAUGGUAAAAUGCAUUGUAAAUAAAAAUUUUAACUUAAAGAAUAC